RNAcentral lists this transfer RNA (88 nucleotides) under Hahella chejuensis KCTC 2396. It matches the Rfam family "tRNA". From Rfam's summary of the family: Transfer RNA (tRNA) molecules are approximately 80 nucleotides in length. Their secondary structure includes four short double-helical elements and three loops (D, anti-codon, and T loops). The record is from Rfam by way of RNAcentral. Lineage: Bacteria; Pseudomonadati; Pseudomonadota; Gammaproteobacteria; Oceanospirillales; Hahellaceae.
GGUGAGGUGUCCGAGCGGUUGAAGGAGCACGCCUGGAAAGCGUGUAUACGGUCACCCCGUAUCGAGGGUUCGAAUCCCUCCCUCACCG